This 497-nucleotide ribosomal RNA is filed under the name uncultured bacterium. RNAcentral's name for it is "partial 16S ribosomal RNA". It matches the Rfam family "Bacterial small subunit ribosomal RNA", at positions 28 to 507 of the family's 1533-position model. The record is from RNAcentral.
GAUGAACGCUGGCGGCGUGCCUAAUACAUGCAAGUCGAGCGAACAGACGAGGAGCUUGCUCCUCUGACGUUAGCGGCGGACGGGUGAGUAACACGUGGAUAACCUACCUAUAAGACUGGGAUAACUUCGGGAAACCGGAGCUAAUACCGGAUAAUAUACUGAACCGCAUGGUUCAAUAGUGAAAGACGGUUUUGCUGUCUCUUAUAGAUGGAUCCGCGCCGCAUUAGCUAGUUGGUACGGUAACGGCUUACCAAGGCAACGAUGCGUAGCCGACCUGAGAGAGUGAUCGGCCACACUAGAGCUUGAACGCGGUCCAGACUCCUGAGGGAGGCAGCAGUAGGGAACCGUCCGCAGUGGGCGAGAGCCUGACGGAGCAACGCCGCGUGAGUGAUGAAGGUCUUCGGAUCGUAAAACUCUGUUAUGAGGGAAAAACAAAUGUGUACGUAACUAUGCACGUCUUGACGGUACCUAGUCAGAAAGCCACGGCUAACUACGUG